Molecule: ribosomal RNA, 1384 nt
Filed under: Salmonella enterica
Lineage: Bacteria; Pseudomonadati; Pseudomonadota; Gammaproteobacteria; Enterobacterales; Enterobacteriaceae
Also listed under: 1 other name
Description: partial 23S ribosomal RNA
Rfam family: Bacterial large subunit ribosomal RNA
Source: RNAcentral
GACGAGGCACUACGGUGCUGAAGCAACAAAUGCCCUGCUUCCAGGAAAAGCCUCUAAGCAUCAGGUAACAUCAAAUCGUACCCCAAACCGACACAGGUGGUCAGGUAGAGAAUACCAAGGCGCUUGAGAGAACUCGGGUGAAGGAACUAGGCAAAAUGGUGCCGUAACUUCGGGAGAAGGCACGCUGACACGUAGGUGAAGUGAUUUACUCAUGGAGCUGAAGUCAGUCGAAGAUACCAGCUGGCUGCAACUGUUUAUUAAAAACACAGCACUGUGCAAACACGAAAGUGGACGUAUACGGUGUGACGCCUGCCCGGUGCCGGAAGGUUAAUUGAUGGGGUCAGCGUAAGCGAAGCUCCUGAUCGAAGCCCCGGUAAACGGCGGCCGUAACUAUAACGGUCCUAAGGUAGCGAAAUUCCUUGUCGGGUAAGUUCCGACCUGCACGAAUGGCGUAAUGAUGGCCAGGCUGUCUCCACCCGAGACUCAGUGAAAUUGAACUCGCUGUGAAGAUGCAGUGUACCCGCGGCAAGACGGAAAGACCCCGUGAACCUUUACUAUAGCUUGACACUGAACAUUGAGCCUUGAUGUGUAGGAUAGGUGGGAGGCUUUGAAGUGUGGACGCCAGUCUGCAUGGAGCCGACCUUGAAAUACCACCCUUUAAUGUUUGAUGUUCUAACGUGGACCCGUAAUCCGGGUUGCGGACAGUGUCUGGUGGGUAGUUUGACUGGGGCGGUCUCCUCCUAAAGAGUAACGGAGGAGCACGAAGGUUGGCUAAUCCUGGUCGGACAUCAGGAGGUUAGUGCAAUGGCAUAAGCCAGCUUGACUGCGAGCGUGACGGCGCGAGCAGGUGCGAAAGCAGGUCAUAGUGAUCCGGUGGUUCUGAAUGGAAGGGCCAUCGCUCAACGGAUAAAAGGUACUCCGGGGAUAACAGGCUGAUACCGCCCAAGAGUUCAUAUCGACGGCGGUGUUUGGCACCUCGAUGUCGGCUCAUCACAUCCUGGGGCUGAAGUAGGUCCCAAGGGUAUGGCUGUUCGCCAUUUAAAGUGGUACGCGAGCUGGGUUUAGAACGUCGUGAGACAGUUCGGUCCCUAUCUGCCGUGGGCGCUGGAGAACUGAGGGGGGCUGCUCCUAGUACGAGAGGACCGGAGUGGACGCAUCACUGGUGUUCGGGUUGUCAUGCCAAUGGCACUGCCCGGUAGCUAAAUGCGGAAGAGAUAAGUGCUGAAAGCAUCUAAGCACGAAACUUGCCCCGAGAUGAGUUCUCCCUGAGACUUAGAGUCUCCUGAAGGAACGUUGAAGACGACGACGUUGAUAGGCCGGGUGUGUAAGCGCAGCGAUGCGUUGAGCUAACCGGUACUAAUGAACCGUGAGGCUUAACCUUACA